AGAGUUUGAUCAUGGCUCAGAAUCAACGCUGGCGGCGUGCCUAACACAUGCAAGUCGAACGCGGUUAUCCCGCAAGGGAUAGCUGAGUGGCGAACGGGUGAGUAACACGUGGGUGACCUACCUUCGAGUGGGGGAUAACGUCCCGAAAGGGACGCUAAUACCGCAUAACAUCCUGCCUUUGAACAGGUGGAGAUCAAAGCUGGGGAUCGCAAGACCUGGCGUUUGAAGAGGGGCCCGCGUCUGAUUAGCUAGUUGGUGAGGUAACGGCCCACCAAGGCUACAAUCAGUAUCCGGCCUGACAGGGCGGACGGACACACUGGGACUGAAACACGGCCCAGACUCCUACGGGAGGCAGCAGUGGGGAAUUGUUCACAAUGGGCGCAAGCCUGAUGACGCAACGCCGCGUGGAGGAAGAAAGUCUUCCGACUGAAAAAACCCGCUGUACGUUCCCGCCAGCUCUCACGCAAUACUAAGGGGCC
This 479-nucleotide ribosomal RNA is filed under the name uncultured bacterium. RNAcentral describes it as "bacterial SSU rRNA". It matches the Rfam family "Bacterial small subunit ribosomal RNA", at positions 8 to 495 of the family's 1533-position model. The record is from RNAcentral.